RNAcentral lists this ribosomal RNA (254 nucleotides) under uncultured bacterium. Its description in RNAcentral is "partial 16S ribosomal RNA". It matches the Rfam family "Bacterial small subunit ribosomal RNA", at positions 524 to 776 of the family's 1533-position model. The record is from RNAcentral.
UACGUAGGUGGCAAGCGUUGUCCGGAUUUACUGGGCGUAAAGAGCGCGCAGGCGGUCGUUCAAGUCGCGUGUGAAAGCCCCCGGCUCAACUGGGGAGGGUCACGCGAUACUGAUCGACUCGAAGGCAGGAGAGGGUAGUGGAAUCCCCGGUGUAGUGGUGAAAUGCGUAGAUAUCGGGAGGAACACCAGUGGCGAAGGCGACUACCUGGCCUGUUUCUUGACGCUGAGGCGCGAAAGCUAGGGGAGCAAACGGG